This 65-nucleotide transfer RNA is filed under the name Agriotes fuscicollis. RNAcentral's name for it is "tRNA-Tyr". Lineage: Eukaryota; Metazoa; Arthropoda; Insecta; Coleoptera; Elateridae. The record is from RNAcentral.
AGUGUGAUGGCUGAGUUUAAGCGAUAAAUUGUAAAUUUAUUUACGGGUUUUAUACCCUCUUACUA